AUACGUGGGGAGCAAGCGUUGUUCGGAUUUACUGGGCGUAAAGAGCUCGUAGGCGGGUGUGUAAGUCGGAUGUGAAAUCCUCUGGCUCAACCAGAGAAUUGCACCCGAAACUGCACAUCUUGAGUUCAGCAGAGGGAAUCGGAAUCACUUGUGUAGCGGUGAAAUGCGUAGAGAUAAGUGAGAACACCAGUGGCGAAGGCGGAUUCCUGGGCUGACACUGACGCUGAGGAGCGAAAGCUGGGGGAGCGAACAGGAUUAGAAACCCCGGUAGUCC
This 274-nucleotide ribosomal RNA is filed under the name uncultured bacterium. Its description in RNAcentral is "partial 16S ribosomal RNA". It matches the Rfam family "Bacterial small subunit ribosomal RNA", at positions 523 to 796 of the family's 1533-position model. The record is from RNAcentral.